CCGAGUUUACAACUCCCAAACCCCUGUGAACAUACCUAUAAUUUGCCUCGGCAGACUCAACGACGGUGCUCCGAGAAAUCGGGCGCCGCUCGCUGCCAGAGGAACCCCAAACUCUAUGUAUUCUUGUGGAUCUUCUGAGUAAAACAAAACAAAUAAAUCA
RNAcentral lists this unclassified non-coding RNA (160 nucleotides) under uncultured Nectriaceae. Its description in RNAcentral is "sequence contains ITS1". Lineage: Eukaryota; Fungi; Ascomycota; Sordariomycetes; Hypocreales; Nectriaceae. The record is from RNAcentral.